Molecule: ribosomal RNA, 457 nt
Filed under: uncultured bacterium
Lineage: Bacteria
Description: bacterial SSU rRNA
Rfam family: Bacterial small subunit ribosomal RNA
Source: RNAcentral
GAUUCUGGCUCAGAACGAACGCUGGCGGCAUGCCUAACACAUGCAAGUCGAACGAUGGCUUCGGCCAUAGUGGCGCACGGGUGAGUAACGCGUGGGAAACUGCCCAUCAGUGGGGAAUAACAGUGGGAAACUGCUGCUAAUACCGCAUACGCCCUUCGGGGGAAAGAUUUAUCGCUGAUGGAUGUGCCCGCGUCCGAUUAGGUAGUUGGUGGGGUAAAGGCCUACCAAGCCGACGAUCGGUAGCUGGUCUGAGAGGAUGAUCAGCCACACUGGGACUGAGACACGGCCCAGACUCCUACGGGAGGCAGCAGUGGGGAAUAUUGGACAAUGAGCGAAAGCCUGAUCCAGCAAUGCCGCGUGAAUGAUGAAGGCCUUAGGGUUGUAAAGUUCUUUCGGGUGGGACGAUGAUGACGGUACCACCAGAAGAAGCCCCGGCUAACUUCGUGCCAGCCGCCGC